RNAcentral lists this small nucleolar RNA (190 nucleotides) under Brassica rapa (field mustard). RNAcentral's name for it is "snoRNA Plant_U3". Lineage: Eukaryota; Viridiplantae; Streptophyta; Magnoliopsida; Brassicales; Brassicaceae. The record is from RNAcentral.
ACGACCUUACUUGAAAGGAUCUGUUCUAUAGGCUCAGACCCUAAAUCCUGGUGGAUGAUGAUUCAUGUCCCUGCGAUUAGAGAGUGGUUAACGGCCACGAUCAUUUCUAGAUGUGUCUGGUUCUGUAGAGGAUCGUUACUCGGCUCAGUUCUAUCCUUGCCGGGGUGGUCGCACAGCGGCCUGAUAGAUU